This is a long non-coding RNA of Phascolarctos cinereus (koala), 1280 nucleotides long. RefSeq lists it as uncharacterized. The record is from RefSeq and is a predicted model, not a curated record. NCBI's taxonomy places the organism in Eukaryota, Metazoa, Chordata, Mammalia, Diprotodontia, Phascolarctidae.
GAAUUUUCAGGAGCAAGCUGUUUAAAUUCAUCUGGCUCUUAAGCACUGCCUCCAGGAAAAGAGAAAGUCUUGAAAUCAUCCUAAAAGUAUUAUGGUCUAAAUUGCUGUGAAGCCAAUAUUCUACCUUUGCAAAGGAAAUGUCAGUGCUACUCAAAGAGAGUACAGUCUGAGGGUUUCCACAGGUGGAUGUCUAUGCCUGGGACAGUUGAAGGGAUGAGCUUUCAAAGGUGAAAGUAGAAGCCUCUUGACUCAACUUCCCACUGUAAUAUUUCCUCUCUGAACAUGAAAAUUUCCCACAGGUGACCAAACAGACAUCAUGAGAAAUGGAUUCUUUAGAAGUGACCACCUUGUUUGGGAAUUUCUCAUAUCUUCAGUCAGACCUGGUUGCACUUUGGAAGGCUCCCCCCCCCACACCCCUGCCUCCAGCAGCUAUUACAGUGCUUAUCAGAGAAAAUGAACACCAGCAAAAGAAUGAGCCCAAAGCUUGGCCUGACUUGCAAUAUAUACCAGAAGACAUGAACUCGAAGAGAGUUGUUCAAUCAAGGCAGAGCCAAGAUGAAGGUGUAAUGCCCAUCCAACAGCCCACUAAAAGUUCCUUGUUUUAAUGUUUUAAGUAAUUAUCUCCCAGAAGAGCAUAUAAUAGAAUUCAUAGGUUACAGUAUUGUGUUUAAAUCUUAGUCAAUGAAUGCAUUUAUUAAGUCUUCUGUGUUUUUUUAGCAUUUUUUUCAAGUGAGGAAAUAGCUAUCCUAUGCCUGAUCUAUGCUGUACAUUAAGAGUCUCUCUACUCCCUUUUGGGGAGACUUUAAACAAAAGCCUAACCUCAGUGUUAAGUGAUUUUCUUCCCCAGUUCCAGUGUAGUAGUGAUACAAAGAGCCAGAGAGUUUGAGAAAAAACAGCUUCCCUUUAGGUGCUAGGCUGCCCCAGGAAUGAACCCAGCUCACGUGUGUGAUCAAGAGCUAGAGGCCCUUUUUAGAGGCAGAGGGCAAGUGCCCAAGUUCCCCCCUGCCAAGAAGUUCUAUGCUGUUACAAUAAUAAAAAAGGUGAUUUUUAUUAAAAGAAGACAUUCUGUGAAGGUAUCCUGAGAGACUAAUUUCCAACCUGGGAGAACUGAAGUGUUGGAGACCUGCCAUAUUGAGGAGGAGUUAGCAAUUGGUGAGAGGUGACUCUGGCUGUGCCCUUUAAUAUGGCUGUGACGACUAAUGCACAUUGAAACAUGUAUCAAUUUCUUUGCAUUAUUUGUUACUUUUAAUACAUCAUAUGUCCAGUGCCAUUGAUGUUUG